AACCUGCCUUACACAAGGGGAUAGCCUCUGGAAACGGAGAAUAAUACCCUAUGACAUUACAGCCUCGCAUGAAGCAGUAAUCAAAGUGUUUAGCGGUGUAAGAUGGACUUGCGUCUGAUUAGCUAGUUGGUGAGAUAACAGCUCACCAAGGCAACGAUCAGUAGCCGGCUUGAGAGAGUGUACGGCCACAUUGGGACUGAGACACGGCCCAG
Molecule: ribosomal RNA, 212 nt
Filed under: uncultured Eubacteriales bacterium
Lineage: Bacteria; Bacillati; Bacillota; Clostridia; Eubacteriales
Description: uncultured Clostridiales bacterium partial 16S ribosomal RNA
Rfam family: Bacterial small subunit ribosomal RNA
Source: RNAcentral